UACGUAGGGUGCGAGCGUUGUCCGGAAUUAUUGGGCGUAAAGAGCUCGUAGGUGGCUUGUCACGUCGGGUGUGAAAUCCCAGGGCUUAACUCUGGGUCUGCAUUCGAUACGGGCAGGCUAGAGUUCGGUAGGGGAGACUGGAAUUCCUGGUGUAGCGGUGAAAUGCGCAGAUAUCAGGAGGAACACCGGUGGCGAAGGCGGGUCUCUGGGCCGAUACUGACGCUGAGGAGCGAAAGCGUGGGGAGCGAACAGG
This 253-nucleotide ribosomal RNA is filed under the name uncultured bacterium. RNAcentral describes it as "partial 16S ribosomal RNA". It matches the Rfam family "Bacterial small subunit ribosomal RNA", at positions 524 to 776 of the family's 1533-position model. The record is from RNAcentral.